GGGUUGUGAGGUUAAGCGACUAAGCGUACACGGUGGAUGCCCUGGCAGUCAGAGGCGAUGAAGGACGUGCUAAUCUGCGAAAAGCGUCGGUAAGGUGAUAUGAACCGUUAUAACCGGCGAUGUCCGAAUGGGGAAACCCAGUGCAAUUCGUUGCACUAUCGUUAACUGAAUACAUAGGUUAACGAGGCGAACCGGGGGAACUGAAACAUCUAAGUACCCCGAGGAAAAGAAAUCAACCGAGAUUCCCCCAGUAGCGGCGAGCGAACGGGGAGCAGCCCAGAGUCUGAAUCAGCUUGUGUGUUAGUGGAACGGUCUGGAAAGUCCGACGGUACAGGGUGAUAGUCCCGUACACCAAAAUGCACAGGCUGUGAACUCGAAGAGUAGGGCGGGACACGUGGUAUCCUGUCUGAAUAUGGGGGGACCAUCCUCCAAGGCUAAAUACUCCUGACUGACCGAUAGUGAACCAGUACCGUGAGGGAAAGGCGAAAAGAACCCCGGCGAGGGGAGUGAAAAAGAACCUGAAACCGUGUACGUACAAGCAGUGGGAGCACCUUCGGGUGUGACUGCGUACCUUUUGUAUAAUGGGUCAGCGACUUAUAUUCUGUAGCAAGGUUAACCGUAUAGGGGAGCCGCAGGGAAACCGAGUCUUAACUGGGCGUUAAGUUGCAGGGUAUAGACCCGAAACCCGGUGAUCUAGCCAUGGGCAGGUUGAAGGUUGGGUAACACUAACUGGAGGACCGAACCGACUAAUGUUGAAAAAUUAGCGGAUGACUUGUGGCUGGGGGUGAAAGGCCAAUCAAACCGGGAGAUAGCUGGUUCUCCCCGAAAGCUAUUUAGGUAGCGCCUCGUGAAUUCAUCUUCGGGGGUAGAGCACUGUUUCGGCUAGGGGGUCAUCCCGACUUACCAACCCGAUGCAAACUACGAAUACCGAAGAAUGUUAUCACGGGAGACACACGGCGGGUGCUAACGUCCGUCGUGAAGAGGGAAACAACCCAGACCGCCAGCUAAGGUCCCAAAGUCAUGGUUAAGUGGGAAACGAUGUGGGAAGGCACAGACAGCCAGGAUGUUGGCUUAGAAGCAGCCAUCAUUUAAAGAAAGCGUAAUAGCUCACUGGUCGAGUCGGCCUGCGCGGAAGAUGUAACGGGGCUAAACCAUGCACCGAAGCUGCGGCAGCGACACUAUGUGUUGUUGGGUAGGGGAGCGUUCUGUAAGCCUGCGAAGGUGACCUGUGAGGGUUGCUGGAGGUAUCAGAAGUGCGAAUGCUGACAUAAGUAACGAUAAAGCGGGUGAAAAGCCCGCUCGCCGGAAGACCAAGGGUUCCUGUCCAACGUUAAUCGGGGCAGGGUGAGUCGACCCCUAAGGCGAGGCCGAAAGGCGUAGUCGAUGGGAAACAGGUUAAUAUUCCUGUACUUGGUGUUACUGCGAAGGGGGGACGGAGAAGGCUAUGUUAGCCGGGCGACGGUUGUCCCGGUUUAAGCAUGUAGGCUGAUUGUCCAGGCAAAUCCGGAUAAUCAAGGCUGAGGUGUGAUGACGAGGCACUACGGUGCUGAAGUAACAAAUGCCCUGCUUCCAGGAAAAGCCUCUAAGCAUCAGGUAACAUCAAAUCGUACCCCAAACCGACACAGGUGGUCAGGUAGAGAAUACCAAGGCGCUUGAGAGAACUCGGGUGAAGGAACUAGGCAAAAUGGUGCCGUAACUUCGGGAGAAGGCACGCUGGUGUGUAGGUGAAGCCCCUGCGGGUGGAGCUGAGACCAGUCGAAGAUACCAGCUGGCUGCAACUGUUUAUUAAAAACACAGCACUGUGCAAACACGAAAGUGGACGUAUACGGUGUGACGCCUGCCCGGUGCCGGAAGGUUAAUUGAUGGGGUUAUCCGUAAGGAGAAGCUCUUGAUCGAAGCCCCGGUAAACGGCGGCCGUAACUAUAACGGUCCUAAGGUAGCGAAAUUCCUUGUCGGGUAAGUUCCGACCUGCACGAAUGGCGUAAUGAUGGCCAGGCUGUCUCCACCCGAGACUCAGUGAAAUUGAACUCGCUGUGAAGAUGCAGUGUACCCGCGGCAAGACGGAAAGACCCCGUGAACCUUUACUAUAGCUUGACACUGAACAUUGAGCCUUGAUGUGUAGGAUAGGUGGGAGGCUUUGAAGCGUGGACGCCAGUCUGCGUGGAGCCAACCUUGAAAUACCACCCUUUAAUGUUUGAUGUUCUAACGUUGGCCCCUUACCGGGGUUGCGGACAGUGUCUGGUGGGUAGUUUGACUGGGGCGGUCUCCUCCCAAAGCGUAACGGAGGAGCACGAAGGUUAGCUAAUCCUGGUCGGACAUCAGGAGGUUAGUGCAAUGGCAUAAGCUAGCUUGACUGCGAGCGUGACGGCGCGAGCAGGUGCGAAAGCAGGUCAUAGUGAUCCGGUGGUUCUGAAUGGAAGGGCCAUCGCUCAACGGAUAAAAGGUACUCCGGGGAUAACAGGCUGAUACCGCCCAAGAGUUCAUAUCGACGGCGGUGUUUGGCACCUCGAUGUCGGCUCAUCACAUCCUGGGGCUGAAGUAGGUCCCAAGGGUAUGGCUGUUCGCCAUUUAAAGUGGUACGCGAGCUGGGUUUAGAACGUCGUGAGACAGUUCGGUCCCUAUCUGCCGUGGGCGCUGGAGAAUUGAGGGGGGCUGCUCCUAGUACGAGAGGACCGGAGUGGACGCAUCACUGGUGUUCGGGUUGUCAUGCCAAUGGCACUGCCCGGUAGCUAAAUGCGGAAGAGAUAAGUGCUGAAAGCAUCUAAGCACGAAACUUGCCCCGAGAUGAGUUCUCCCUGAGACUAUAAGUCUCCUGAAGGAACGUUAAAGACGAUGACGUUGAUAGGCCGGGUGUGUAAGCGCAGCGAUGCGUUGAGCUAACCGGUACUAAUGAACCGUGAGGCUUAACCUUACAACGCCGAAG
RNAcentral lists this ribosomal RNA (2923 nucleotides) under Klebsiella pneumoniae. Its description in RNAcentral is "23S ribosomal RNA". It matches the Rfam family "Bacterial large subunit ribosomal RNA". Lineage: Bacteria; Pseudomonadati; Pseudomonadota; Gammaproteobacteria; Enterobacterales; Enterobacteriaceae. The record is from RNAcentral.